GAUGAACGCUGGCGGCGUGCCUAAUACAUGCAAGUCGAGCGAACGGACGAGAAGCUUGCUUCUCUGAUGUUACCGGCGGACGGGUGAGUAACACGUGGAUAACCUACCUAUAAGACUGGGAUAACUUCGGGAAACCGGAGCUAAUACCGGAUAAUAUUUUGAACCGCAUGGUUCAAAAGUGAAAGACGGUCUUGCUGUCACUUAUAGAUGGAUCCUCGCUGCAUUAGCUAGUUGGUAAGGUAACGGCUUACCAAGGCAACGAUGCAUAGCCGACCUGAGAGGGUGAUCGGCCACACUGGAACUGAGACACGGUCCAGACUCCUACGGGAGGCAGCAGUAGGGAAUCUUCCGCGAUGGGCGAAAGCCUGACGGAGCAACGCCGCGUGAGUGAUGAAGGUCUUCGGAUCGUAAAACUCUGUUAUUAGGGAAGAACAUAUGUGUAAGUAACUGUGCACAUCUUGACGGUACCUAAUCAGAAAGCCACGGCUAACUACGUG
Molecule: ribosomal RNA, 497 nt
Filed under: uncultured bacterium
Lineage: Bacteria
Description: partial 16S ribosomal RNA
Rfam family: Bacterial small subunit ribosomal RNA
Source: RNAcentral